Molecule: ribosomal RNA, 483 nt
Filed under: uncultured bacterium
Lineage: Bacteria
Description: partial 16S ribosomal RNA
Rfam family: Bacterial small subunit ribosomal RNA
Source: RNAcentral
AUUGAACGCUGGCGGCAGGCCUAACACAUGCAAGUCGAGCGGAUGAAGGGAGCUUGCUCCUGGAUUCAGCGGCGGACGGGUGAGUAAUGCCUAGGAAUCUGCCUGGUAGUGGGGGAUAACGUCCGGAAACGGGCGCUAAUACCGCAUACGUCCUGAGGGAGAAAGUGGGGGAUCUUCGGACCUCACGCUAUCAGAUGAGCCUAGGUCGGAUUAGCUAGUUGGUGGGGUAAAGGCCUACCAAGGCGACGAUCCGUAACUGGUCUGAGAGGAUGAUCAGUCACCCUGGAACUGGGCCCCGGCCCAGCCCCCUCCGGGAGGCAGCAGUGGGAAAUUUGGGACAAUGGGCGAAAGCCUGACCCAGCCAUGCCGGGUGUGUGAAGAAGGUUUUCGGUUUGUAAAGCACUUUAAGUUGGGAGGAAGGGCAGUAAGUUAAUCCCUUGCUGUUUUGCCGUUCCCAACAGAAUAAGCCCCGGCUAACUUCGU